ACGCUCGACACCUACGGGAGGCAGCAGUGGGGAAUAUUGCACAAUGGGGGAAACCCCGAUGCAGCAACGCCGCGUGAGUGAAGAAGUAUUUCGGUAUGUAAAGCUCUAUCAGCAGGGAAGAUAAUGACGGUACCUGACUAAGAAGCUCCGGCUAAAUACGUGCUAGCAGCCGCGGUAAUCUGAGCGGGCUGGCAAGGC
This 198-nucleotide ribosomal RNA is filed under the name uncultured bacterium. RNAcentral describes it as "partial 16S ribosomal RNA". It matches the Rfam family "Bacterial small subunit ribosomal RNA", at positions 328 to 539 of the family's 1533-position model. The record is from RNAcentral.